Molecule: non-coding RNA, 922 nt
Organism: Podarcis muralis (Common wall lizard)
Lineage: Eukaryota; Metazoa; Chordata; Lepidosauria; Squamata; Lacertidae
Source: RefSeq, a predicted model, not a curated record
GUAAGCGGACGAAGAAAGGGGGCGGAGCAAGUCGUUAGCGGCUCUGGGGAAGGAAACCGUUGAGUGGGAGGAGGGGCAGGUGAUGGAGGAGGAGGGGGUUGCUUUCCCCGGCUCUAUUUUCUUCUUUCUCCUUCGGUGAGAGAACCCAAACGCAGCAGGAAACAACUGACAUUCAGCAUUGCCCAGUCUUCCUGCACUUGGGAGGAAACAAAUUGACAAUUGGACAGACGCGAUCAUCUGGCUAUGACCCAUCUGUGCAUGAUGGUAAUACACCACACAUCCAGCCACCAUUUCCUAAGGAGAGGGACAAAGAUAACUAAGUAUGAGAAUGCUAUUAACAUAGCUAUGUAGCUGGUUAGCAGAAACUUCAGUCUCUUUCCCAAGAAUGGCUUCCAACAAGGCAUCAUGAAUAAAAACAUACUGCUCCUAGAAUGGCAGGAAGCAAAUAAAGAAUGAAGAAGCAAGCCCAUACAUACUGUCUAUAACAAUGUAGGUACCAGUCCUGCCAACACCAGCGCUGACAAAACAGAAGUUUCAAGAGAAAGGCUAGUUAAACACUAAUAAAGAAUUGCAGCACCAUGCUAAUAUUGAUAUACAGUAUACGCUUCUUUACAUCCACAAAGUCUUGCUCUUUAGAAUUUUCUAUAAUAUGCAAUGGCCAACUUUCACUUUGCUUGUAAUUGCUGGGAUCUUAGGUGCUUCUUUGAAUCCUUGCACAAGGAACCUUAGCUCCCAGUGAAUGCAGCUUCUGGGCCAAAAAAAAGGUUGGCCAGUCUUGCUCAGCAUUUAAAGACAGGUCAGCUGGUAAGAUUCAUUUUCAGCUGGUGAUACUCUCUAGGUUUGAGAGAAACAAGACUAUGUGCGACUUGAGCCGGGGUGGUGUAGCGGUUAGUGUGUUGGACAAGGACCUGGGAAACUGGGG